AUAUAAUAAAAAGGGAAAACUUCAAAAACCCCCUAUGUGGUUUCGUAGUUUCUCACUUUGCCCCCCUAUGGUUUAAAAUGUAUAAAUUUGCCCUCCCGUGAUUUCUUUUUUCUCUUUUUCAUAUCAAUUUUAUUAUUUUUUUUUCUUAAAUCAGUGAUAAAGUUAAAAUUAAAAAUGUACUAAAGUGAAUAUUUGAUAAAUCUAGAUGGUUAUCUGAAGUUUUUUGUAUAUAAUUUAAUGAAAUAUUAACGAAAAAGCUAUCGAAAAGAUAAAAACAAAAU
Molecule: long non-coding RNA, 281 nt
Filed under: Ananas comosus (pineapple)
Lineage: Eukaryota; Viridiplantae; Streptophyta; Magnoliopsida; Poales; Bromeliaceae
Description: long non-coding RNA (ACOM_LNC037133)
Source: RNAcentral